UCCACUUCCUCAACUUGCUUCUAUCUAGCUUCUGCCCCGAUCAUUCCUCUAAAAAUUGCUCUCCCUGAAGCCACCAGCUGCUUCUGAAUGUUCUUCCCUCGGGAGUAUGUUGGUGGGUCCGGGAAGGGAAGGCACCCUCAGGUAAAUAAUAACCCAGAAUAGAGUGGAUUGAGUAGAAGGGAGAGGACAAGGAUACAAGAGGUGAGGCAAUGUCAUCCAACUUGAAAGAAUGGCGCAGAACCAGAGUUGGAUCCAAACACUUACCUUGUCCAAGAGCCAGGCAUUCCAGUUAGAAGUCUGUUCACCUGAGCAGAAGACAGAGUCCAGAAACAAGCCAAUUCCAAAUACGUAAUAAACCGAAAAACCAAAGUAGUCCCAGAAGGAAGAGUGCAAGGAGUUGGAAGGCCAAGAGGAAUUCCAAAUUCAGCAACCUACCAGCUGCACUUGGCUGGGCUUUCCUGGGAAUAUGUGAUGAAAUGUACAGACCUACAAUGUUAUCUCUUUCAGAAAUGAGAGAUGGGCUCCCAGGGCACUCCUGUACUGGAUAUGUCAACACAGUGCCUGCCACACCCAACUUCCUCUUUGAGAUGAAAGUGCCCCACCCACAGCCCCCUGCUUUGAGAAGCAGAGGUUUAUCCCUGGACUCCGUGGACUGCUGCAGGGGUUAGUCUCCUGGAGAGAGCAGGGCCCCUGCAUCUCUUUCUGACAAAAGAUGGCAGACAUAAACAAGAGGAAGUUUGAAAGAAAGAGAAACGGCUAAUUCUCAGCAAGCUUUCAUAUGUCUUCGGAAGGCUUGGCAUCCACGGCUCCUUCAGGAUGAACACCUGUGUCUGCUACGCUUUGCAUCAAGUGACUUCUCCAUGCCUUUCUUGUGUCUUUUUUUCUCAGCUCCUUUCCAUUGCCUCCUUUAUGUUUUCUCACUGCCUAGCUCUUCCCAAUAGCACCACCCCGAGUGGUUCUAGGGCAAAAUAGUAAAGCAUUCUACAUUUGU
Chlorocebus sabaeus (green monkey) is the source of this 991-nucleotide non-coding RNA. The record is from RefSeq and is a predicted model, not a curated record. Lineage: Eukaryota; Metazoa; Chordata; Mammalia; Primates; Cercopithecidae.